UUACCUCCACAGGUUUAUUUUGUAAACCUGCUUCGCUGCUGCUCCACUCGGCGGUUCCUUUCAGACGCAGAUGAGGUCAAAGUAAACCCAGCUCUGCCUUUGAAUGAAGUGAAAGCUUAAAGGAAACAUGAAAGGGUUCGGAUGGUUUCGUAUGUUAAAAGUCGUGGAGCGUCGACGUGUGUUGGUCUGAUGGAUGGAACCGUUUUAAUAAAACUGAACAUAAAAAUGAAUAUCAACACUGAUGCUAAUGCACCGCCCAGUGGAGUAGUUUAAGGUGUUAGCAUUAAUGUUUAGGGUGUUAGCAUUAAUGUUUAAGGCGUUACAUUAAUGUUUAGGGCGUUAACAUUAAUGUUUAGGGUAUUAGCAUUAACGUUUAAUAUGUUAGCAUCAAUGUUUAGGGUGUCAGCAUUUGUGUUUAAUAUGUUAGCAUUAAUGUUUAAGGUGUUAGCAUUAAUGCUUAGGGUGUUAGCAUUAAUAUUUAAGGCGUUAGCAUUCAUGCUUAGGGUGUUAGCAUUAAUGUUUAGGGUGUUAGCAUUAAUGUUUAAGGCGUUAACAUUAAUGUUUAGGGCGUUAACAUUAAUGUUUAGGGUAUUAGCAUUAACGUUUAAUAUGUUAGCAUCAAUGUUUAGGGUGUCAGCAUUUGUGUUUAAUAUGUUAGCAUUAAUGUUUAAGGUGUUAGCAUUAAUGCUUAGGGUGUUAGCAUUAAUAUUUAAGGCGUUAGCAUUCAUGCUUAGGGUGUUAGCAUUAAUGUUUAGGGUGUUAGCAUUAAUGCUGCUAUGCUAAGACUCGUAGCUCCCAAUUAUAUAAUAAUGACUAACAAAUAUAAUUAAUUUUGGUCAUUUUAAAUGUAAUGAAGCCAAUUACGUAAUAACAUCUGUGAAUUAACACAUUUGUUUAGCAUUAGAAAAAUUCUUUGAAAAUGUCAAAACUGCAGUCGAUAAUAAAUGCUAAUACACAAAUACAACUGCAUUUAUUAGAAAUACAAGGUUUCUGUGCAGUUGGUUCAUUAAUUGGUCUAACGGAGGGAAUAGUCCAAAGACACCUCACUGUAAUUAAUCAAAUAUUCAUCUGUACGUGAAAUUACAAAUUUAAAUAUCAAUACAAAUAAACAAUAUUCUAAAUUUAAAAAAAAAUUCCAAUUGGUUCUUACAGCCAUAAUUAUUAAUGAGUGAAUAUAACGACUGUUCGUCCACUAGACACAUAUUUAAUGAACAAAACCUAAAAAAAAAAAUUCAAAAACAGUUUAAUUUUUAAUAAAUGCACAUGUAUUUAUGUAUUAGCACAUUAUCCGCUACAGUUAUUAUAUUUUCAAAGGACUUUUUAUUUAAUUUGAGACCAAUAAUGUACAAACGUCGUACAUUAUUGUCAACUGUUUUUGUGCAAUUGGUUUCAUUCCAUUUAAAAUGAUCAACAUCAAUUAUCGUUAUUGGUCGUUAUUACAUAAUCAGUUUUAUGUUGUUUUUCAUGAUUACGUUAUUGGUGCUACUGAUUGUCAUAUUUUCGGGGCUAAAAUGUUCGGUUCGUCCUCAGUGUGUGUUUGAGACGGGGUUGGGUUUGGUUUUUCAGAUGAAAUAAGGCCGACUUCAGAUGGUGAAGGGUUCGUUUGAGGUCCAGUGUCGACUUCAGGGAAUGAAAGGCUUUCCUCCGUGAACUCAGACAUCAGAUGAGUUCCACUUCACACUGAAUCCAUCCACACGUUUAAAAACAGACGAAAAUUCGGAUGCCGCUUUAAUGUGAAUCUGUGCGUGAGACUGAAUGUGAGCAGGAUUCAAGACCUUGGUGAGGCGUUCGAGGACCACGUCUAUCCAGUUGACGCAGAUUCAUUUCGUUUUCAGGUGAUUUCAUGGAACGUUUGUCGAGUCGCGUCGUUUAUUUUCCCACGGCUCAGAUGGUAGAGCGGGUCGUCCAAUAACCGAAGGGUUGGCGGUUCGAAUCCCGCUCUGCCCAUGUGCUGUUGCCACUUCCUCCUUGCCUCCAGUGCUGCCACUCACACUGGUGUAUGAAUGUUCAGUGGUGGUGGGAGGGGCCAAAGGCACGAUACAAAUAUGGUUUAACACCAACAGAGUGUGAAUGUGAGAGUGAAUGAAUAAUGGAUCCACUGUUCGCACUUUGAGUACGCGUUCAUAGAAAAGCACUAUAUAAAUCUAAUCCAUUAUUAUUCUUAUUACUUUCGUGAACGUGACCUGAAUCUGUUCGGAAUUUUCCCAUAACAUGCGUAUAGUUUCCGAAGCAGCCGUCGUCUCCCAGUUGGAACCCGGUUCAGUAACAGACGGGUGUAACUACGGCUGCAGGCGGCUGUCGACAGGUUAACCCCAGGUGGAGCAGCAGCGUCAGGAAGAAUCUGGACCAGAUUCAGUCUGGAAUGUUCGCAAUAUUCACUCGCAUUUAUAGCCGUAAGUCGUAACAGCGCCACAGUCUGGACGUCUGCAUCACUUCCUGGUUUCAUGUUGGGUUUUUCCACAGGGUUUAUUAUUAAAGUUAAGCAAAUCUUUCAGCCGUCGGCAACUGGUCGUACGUACAUGUUGAAUUAUAGACGUCAACAGCAGCAGUCGACAAUAAUCGAGUUAAACUUCAGUUAAACUUCCGCCGCACUUUCAGCUACCAUCAGUCCGUUGUACACGUUGAAUUAAAGAUGUCAUAAACUCGUUUAACCAAGGCUGCAGUCGUCGGUUUUUCCACAGGAUUUAAUAACAAUAAGGUUCAUUUGUCAGUUUUUUCUCAUCCCACGUCUGAUUUAUUCCCGAAUCACCCGUAAAAACACCAAAACGCCGCCUGAAAAUAAAACGCUUUAAUCUUUCAUAUGUUUGUCUGAUAUUUUUAGGGCUUUCCACCACUAGUGAAUUUAGUUGCUACGUGUCGCUAACGUCCGCAUGUUUUUCUUAACACCACAUCAGGUCUUUAACGCGUGAUAAUCGAGAUUCGAGAGCGAAGGGACGAACGAACCGCCGCUGCGUGUCUCUGACGAAUGUGUCAAACAGCUGAUCAUAUCAUAUAUUUUUGUACGUUUUCGGCAUCGUGUCACGUUCGCCACCUGCUGGAGUUGAGGACAAACGCUGAUUUCUGUUUUUGUUUUUUUGGUUCUGAUUGUUUCUUUGCCGGUUCAGGGUUUCAUCGGGCUUGUGCAGUUAAACAGAGUUUAUUGAUUAUUUUAUGUCGAUUCCUUUAUCAUUUCAAUAAUCGAGCAAAAACUUAAAGGGAGAUUUAUCUAUAGUCAGAUGAUGUCAGAUAUUUUUGCAAAAAACAAAACAAAAAAAAAAAUGGUUUUGCUGAUUUUAAGCAUGUAUUGUUUUUCUCCUGAAGCCACAGACUCACGUCAAGUCAAAGAUUCAGAUCCAGAUUUGACGUUUUUCAUGUUUUCGUCUUAAGUUUAACUCAAGAAAAGCAGCGAACGGACUCCGAUUCCUGUUUGAUCAGAUCAAGUCUCGCAGAUAAAAGUCGCUAAAUCAUAAACUGUGACUGAAUUAUUUCGUCCGUCGUCUUAAACCAGACUGAGCUUCACGCAGUAAAAGUUCGUAUCAGUAAAUCUGCGCCUUCAGUCAUUUUCACUCCUUUAAAUAUUUUCCAAAGACGGAAACGAUUCAAUAAAAGAAACUUCAACUAGUUUUGACUUCAGCGAUAAUGGAUAAAUAUUAGUUCGUCAGUUUAUUCCAAUUUAUUUGAAGGAAAAGAGUUGAUUCUGCAGAAACGAUGAGAUUAAAAUACAUGUAAAAGACGUGAAUUCAUCUUCUAUAUUUGUUUUAUUUUCAUCACAUUAUCAACGUUAUAAUAAUAAUUCAGUCGUAUCAGAAUCUACAUUUUGACUUUAUUUCAGUUUCUUCUCAUUUCCUGCUUCAGCUUUAAUUUUUCACUUUAACAGUAUUUUGUUUCGGCUAAAUUUCAGGAAAUCUUUCAACUGUCGUCGAUUAGUCACAUGUUGAAUUAAAGACGUCAAUGUAAAUGAGUAAGAGAUUUUAUUUCAGCUAAAUUCUGUAAAAUCUCAGCUAUCAUCAGUCGUUUCUGUUUUCAACCAGUCGUAAAUACAAAUAAGAAUAUGCAAAUUUUGCAUAAUCUAAAAUUUCGGCCUAUUUUUGGACUAUCAUCGUCCGUCGUACAUGUUGAAUUAACGGCGUCAGCCCGGGCUGCAGACCUAAAUGUUGACAGUUUAAAGUCGCAGAGUCAGGAUUUCAGCUCAAAAUCCGAUCAGCUGAUGUUUACGUUGGAGUUGUUCAGUAACGUGUAGAUUUUCUGUGAUGAAUAAAACGACUGAGGUUGAAACAUUACCCACAGUUCGCACAAACGUUGCAGUAAAACUCUGAGACGUGGAGGCGUGGUUUAAGGCACUCAGGGUUCUGAAGACCGUGAAGUCCAGUUCUGGGUUUAGUCCGGGUUCUAAGACUCGACCUUGAGCUGAAAUGGAUGCGAAACCAGCAGCUCAAACAAAUGAACCACGAUCUGGAUCUGGAUCUGGAGUCUGAACGUGACCGUGAAUGCAUCGUCUGUGCUGCUUCAGGUGUUCUUCUGGUCGUCGUCGUGUUGCACUUGGAUCACCGUGUCCUGGUACUUUCUAAACCCAUGGAGUCAGAACCGUUUGGUACAAAAGGGUCAAAGGUUUUUACUGAACAAACUGUAAAAAACAUCCUUCCUGUCGAGUGUUUCAGCGCCGUGAAAAACUCGUAAAGACGGACGUUUUCAUCUGCAGAAAAAAAAGCUGGACUGUCAGUUUCUGAUGCUGUUUUUCUCUGUUUUGUGCAGUUUGUAUUUUUGUGCCAGUUUUAGAAUCAGGCGUCGACGCGUCUGAUGGUUUUAACCACUGACCAACGCAGAGGCUCGGCUCGCACUGCAGCUUCAGGACCAACCCGGAACUAGUCUGACCCAGAACCAGUUCGACCCAGAACCGGUCCGAACUGGAACCAAUCCAACCCAGAACCUGGUCCAAACCCAAACAGGUGCAACUCAGAAUCGGUCCGACACCGAACUGGUCUGACCCAGAACCAAUGUUUAACCUCCUCAGACCCAGUGUGGGUUUUCUGUCCACGUUUGUAGACAGAGUUUUACAGCUUUAGACAAAAAAAAAAAAAAGAAUAAACAAAGGCUGAAGUUCUAACACUUAGAAAUGUGUCCCAUUAUAAACCAGUGGGGAUUUAGAACAUUUAAAAAAUUCAAUAAUCAGUAUUUUCCCAAUCAUUUGGACAAACUUCACAGACCUCACUGCGACUGAUGGUUUCAGAGAAGAAUCUUAAAAAAUUGUUUAUGGACAACGGAUGAUAACUGAUCCCAAAAGUCCAUCAGACCCAUUGGACUAAAAACUAAAGCUAAAAACUGUCCACAGCAAACGGCAUUCUAUAAAAAUAAAUAAAUCCAUCUGAAAAACUGUUGCAUCAUAAUGUUUCUAAUAUCCUUAAUUACUGAAUUAAAAAAGUCCAAACUUGUUUCCUGAUGUUUCAGGAGUUUCACCUGAACCAUCGACUCCAGAAACUGAGAAGUUUAGAUCCAUUCCACACCAGAUCAUGUGACUGUGGUGUCGGAUCAGGACUGGGUUCAGUUCUAGAAUGUUCCCUGGGUUUGUGGGUUCUGAUGGUUCGUCUCGUUUCAGACUUCUCUUAUGCACAAACAUAUUUGGAACAUAAAUUACAUUGGAAAAACCUCAGAGAAUCCAGAUUCAUUGGACAUGGAUUGGGUUUGAGUCUGUGUUUGUCAAACUGGGGUUCAGGUCCCAGACCGGGUCCCAGACCGGGUUUAAUGUGGUCCCUAUUGACCAGAGGAAAAUAAAUAACAUGAGUUAAAGACAAAACAGUGAAAAAUCAUUUUAAUCUGUUUUGAACAAAGUUCAACAUAAAGAAACAAACGGGGGUUAAACUGUAAACCCAUUGGACAGAACCGACCCGAACGGACCUGGUUCUGAUUUCAGGUGGUUCUGGUUCAGAUGUUAAACGGGUCCUGACUGAGCCUCAGCGUUUCACCAUUAAAUAAUAACAUGUGCAAUGAGAUUAAUGUUCAACACAAAUAAAAUGGGUUCAACCUGUGA
Long non-coding RNA from Sphaeramia orbicularis (orbiculate cardinalfish), 6004 nucleotides. RefSeq lists it as uncharacterized. Lineage: Eukaryota; Metazoa; Chordata; Actinopteri; Kurtiformes; Apogonidae. The transcript has 2 exons. The record is from RefSeq and is a predicted model, not a curated record.